CGGUGCUAUCAGCUGACGAAGGAGCUUGGGCGUGUUCGGCACCCGUGCGUGCUGGCGCUCUGAGCUGCUUCUCCUUGGCCUGGAAGAAGGCUCUUCUCCUCUUCCACGCCGACUAUACCCCAAUCCCCCAAUACCAUUAUGCUGGAGCAAUGGUUGGUCUCUGCUAGGAGGAUCCGAACCCCUAUGCUGAGGAUAAUUAAUAUCUCUGGUACGGGAAAUAUUUUCUAAGUAAACCGGAAAUAUGAUAUAGUCGAAAGAGCAAUAGCAGAUUGGUUCUGGGAGCUUCGAAACAACAAGGACUUGUGCUACUCGUAACCAUGGACCAUGGUGAAUA
This is a long non-coding RNA of Lolium rigidum, 334 nucleotides long. RefSeq lists it as uncharacterized. The transcript has 3 exons. The record is from RefSeq and is a predicted model, not a curated record. NCBI's taxonomy places the organism in Eukaryota, Viridiplantae, Streptophyta, Magnoliopsida, Poales, Poaceae.